GUCCGAUUGACGAGUUCUAAAUAGGACGGAACGCGCGUCCUGGAU
Molecule: non-coding RNA, 45 nt
Filed under: Schistosoma mattheei
Lineage: Eukaryota; Metazoa; Platyhelminthes; Trematoda; Strigeidida; Schistosomatidae
Source: RNAcentral